Molecule: small RNA, 29 nt
Filed under: Bombyx mori (domestic silkworm)
Lineage: Eukaryota; Metazoa; Arthropoda; Insecta; Lepidoptera; Bombycidae
Description: ovarian small RNA-25062
Source: RNAcentral
UCACAUCUCUUCAUGUGGCGUUUCACGAU